CCUCUCCGGACCUGACUGCUAUCGGAUUGAUACUAAGCCAUGCGAGUCAUUGUAGUAAUACAAGGCAGACGGCUCAGUAACGCGUAGUCAACCUAACCUAUGGACGGGAAUAACCUCGGGAAACUGAGUAUAAUGCCCGAUAGAACAUUAUACCUGGAAUGGUUUAUGUUCCAAAUGAUUUAUCGCCGUAGGAUGGGACUGCGGCCUAUCAGUUUGUUGGUGAGGUAAUGGCCCACCAAGACUAUUACAGGUACGGGCUCUGAGAGGAGUAGCCCGGAGAUGGGUACUGAGACACGGACCCAGGCCCUAUGGGGCGCAGCAGGCGAGAAAACUUUGCAAUGUGCGAAAGCACGACAAGGUUAAUCCGAGUGGUUUCUGCUAAAGGAACCUUUUGUCGGUCCUAGAAACACCGAUGAAUAAGGGGUGGGCAAGUUCUGGUGU
RNAcentral lists this ribosomal RNA (441 nucleotides) under uncultured archaeon. RNAcentral's name for it is "bacterial SSU rRNA". It matches the Rfam family "Archaeal small subunit ribosomal RNA", at positions 1 to 458 of the family's 1478-position model. The record is from RNAcentral.